GACGAACCGUCCAAACGUUGUUCGGAAUCACUGGGCUUAAAGGGCGCGUAGGCGGGUUCCCAAGUCGGUGGUGAAAUCUUUCGGCCCAACCGGAAAACAGCCGCCGAUACUGGGGACCUCGAGGGAGGUAGGGGUCGAGGGAACUUCCGGUGGGGCGGUGAAAUGCGUAGAUAUCGGAAGGAACGCCGGUGGCGAAAGCGCUCGACUGGACCUCUUCUGACGCUGAGGCGCGAAAGCCAGGGGAGCAAACAGG
RNAcentral lists this ribosomal RNA (253 nucleotides) under uncultured bacterium. RNAcentral's name for it is "partial 16S ribosomal RNA". It matches the Rfam family "Bacterial small subunit ribosomal RNA", at positions 524 to 776 of the family's 1533-position model. The record is from RNAcentral.